UUUCUGAAAGUAUUGAAAGGUACCUGUUAGAUAGAAUGCUCAUAAACAUGUAAUUUUUGUUAUAAAGUAGUUUAAUCUUGGCAAAAUAUGUACUAUACACGCCGAUACCAAAUUUUUAAUUUCAAACAUUCGGAUUCCAAAACUUUCAAAUUGAAAAGCGUCAGUUCAUACAUAAUAUAGCGUCCAAAAGCGCGACAACCAGCAUCGCAAAGCGAAAACUCGUUGAUCGCAAGAGCAAAUACAAUUUUCUUUCAGUAUCAAGUUCAGGGGAAUAAGCGACACUUAUGGUAAGGGCGGUAUGUUAAGUCGAUCUUUUAUGAUGCGCCGGCCUCUCCACGUUCGCUGGAGGCAAUUUUCGUUGCUCAGCCGAUCGGUUGGGCGUCUGAUGCACACGCAUUUUAAUGUUGUUGGGCGAUGCGGUGGGAAUUUGUCGGAGAUGAGUGUAGGCAUCAUACGAACGAUCGCCAAAGUUAUUUUGUGAGCGAAAGUUCUCAACUUCUCGUGCUUUUUAUAUUAUUUUUGUUUUAAAUAUAUAGAUAACGAUCUCGAUAUAUUGUACAGUGUUAAUCGGGAUAAUUCAGACAGAAUUAUAUUUGAACAUGCCACAAAGGUUCGUAAAGAAAACAGCAAGAUUUGUGAUAUGCAAUUCAAAUAAUAAUUGUGUUAUUUUCAGGUAUAUUCGAUAUGGAAAAUACCUAAGAGAAAAUUACUGAAGCCGAUUUCAUAAAUCGCUUUCGUUUCUCACAGGAAAUUGUGCAAAAUGUUUUGUUGACAUUAACCACUCACCAAGAACAGAACAAAUCACAAAUCGAGGCCUUGAUACAGGCGUAAGAUUUAAGAAGUGAAACCAUUUUAAGUCGAAAAUAAAGCUGUCUGGUGUGGAAAUAGCGUGGCAAGACUGAAGGUGAAAUGGGAGGGACAUCUCAUGAGAACGGAGGACAAUAGAUGGUCUAGGAAAGUGACCGAAUGGCGACCAAGAGGAUGCAGAAGACACCCCGGAAGACUAGGUGGAAGGCGAUAUCCAGAAAGUAGGGGGAGUGAAAUGGAGGAGUAGAACAGCUGAGAGAACCGGAUGAAUGGAAUGUCCAUGGAUUGUCCGAGACACGUUGAGAAUGAUGAUGAUAAAUCAAAUUGAUCUUUGUACAUUCACACAUAAAGCAACAAGUAUUUACGUAAUGUUAAUGAGAAAAACGCCACUUAGAUGUGCGAUCAAAUACAUUCUUGUGCAAUUUCCGACUGCCGAUAGGUCAGUUUUAUGUGAGAAUUAUUGUACUAUACAGUAUCGCAUUUUUUGCCAUAAAGCUAGCUUGCCAUAAGCAUAAGAUGACAAACCCAAAGUGUACUCUAAUAAACGAAUAUGCAUUACUAAAAA
Molecule: long non-coding RNA, 1372 nt
Organism: Dendroctonus ponderosae (mountain pine beetle)
Lineage: Eukaryota; Metazoa; Arthropoda; Insecta; Coleoptera; Curculionidae
Exons: 2
Source: RefSeq, a predicted model, not a curated record